Molecule: unclassified non-coding RNA, 341 nt
Filed under: soil metagenome
Description: partial contains 5.8S ribosomal RNA, internal transcribed spacer 2, and large subunit ribosomal RNA
Rfam family: 5.8S ribosomal RNA (bases 1-120)
Source: RNAcentral
GAUGAAGAACGCAGCGAAAUGCGAUAAGUAGUGUGAAUUGCAGAAUUCAGUGAAUCAUCGAAUCUUUGAACGCACAUUGCGCCCUUUGGUAUUCCAAAGGGCAUGCCUGUUCGAGCGUCAUUUGUACCCUCAAGCUUUGCUUGGUGUAGGGCGUCUUGUCUCUAGCUUUGCUGGAGACUCGCCUUAAAGUAAUUGGCAGCCGGCCUACUGGUUUCGGAGCGCAGCACAAGUCGCACUCUCUAUCAGCAAAGGUCUAGCAUCCAUUAAGCCUUUUUUUCAACUUUUGACCUCGGAUCAGGUAGGGAUACCCGCUGAACUUAAGCAUAUCAAUAAGCGGAGGA